CAGCCGCCGCGGUAAUACGUAGGUGGCAAGCGUUGUCCGGAUUUAUUGGGCGUAAAGCGAGCGCAGGCGGUUUCUUAAGUCUGAUGUGAAAGCCCCCGGCUCAACCGGGGAGGGUCAUUGGAAACUGGGAAACUUAAGUGCAGAAGAGGAGAGUGGAAUUCCAUGUGUAGCGGUGAAAUGCGUAGAUAUAUGGAGGAACACCAGUGGCGAAGGCGGCUCUCUGGUCUGUAACUGACGCUGAGGCUCGAAAGCGUGGGGAGCAAACAGGAUUAGAUACCCCCGUAGUCCCUGUCUCUUAUAC
Molecule: ribosomal RNA, 301 nt
Filed under: uncultured bacterium
Lineage: Bacteria
Description: partial 16S ribosomal RNA
Rfam family: Bacterial small subunit ribosomal RNA
Source: RNAcentral